ACAGUCUUCCACCAGGAUGUGACUGAAGGCCUGGCCGAGGUCUGCAGGCCACCUGGAGGGCACCUGGAGAGCCAGGAGCGUUGCUGGGGCCUGGGUCUACCCCAAGACCCCUCUGCCUCUCCCUAGGCUGUGAGCUUCCCGAGGAUGACGCCCCCUCUGCUUACACCACCUGCAGGUGCUCCAGCCCCGGCACUGGAGGGCCUUGGCCACCGACACAGCAGCCUCAUCUUCUGGCUGGAUAAACUCACCUCAGAGCCAAGUGGCCCAGGAGAAGCUGCCUCUGUGGCCCGGUCUGCAGGGUGGAGUUACCGUGGGUCCCUCGCAUCAGACAUCUGCCUGCGGACCAGACACCUGUUCUCCUCCAAGGAGCCUCAAUGUCCAGAGAAGGGAUCCUGCGGUGACCGAGGGACAGGCCUGUCUUCUGGGUCACCACAUCUUGGCAUUUGUUAUUUGCCCCCAGGAAGGUCUGAAGGAUUUUACUUUUAAAAACCAUAGUCAGCCGGACGCGGUGGCUAACGCCUGUAAUCCCAGCACUUAGGGAGGCCGAGGUGGGUGGAUCACCUGAGGUCAGGAGUUCAAGAACAAUCUGACCAACAUGCAGAAACCCUGUCUCUACUAAUACUACAAAAUUAGCCAGGUGUGGUGGUGGGCGCCCGUAAUCCCAGCUACUUGGGAGGCUGAGGCAGGAGAAUCGCUUGAACC
This is a long non-coding RNA of Gorilla gorilla gorilla (western lowland gorilla), 702 nucleotides long. RefSeq lists it as uncharacterized. The transcript is spliced from 3 exons. The record is from RefSeq and is a predicted model, not a curated record. Lineage: Eukaryota; Metazoa; Chordata; Mammalia; Primates; Hominidae.